UGGGGAAUCUUGCGCAAUGGCCUGACGGCUGACGCAGCGACGCCGCGUGCGGGAGGACGCCCCUCGGGGUGUAAACCGCUGUUGCCCGGGACGAACAGCCCGUUUCGACGGGCCUGACGGUACCGGGUGAGGAAGCACCGGCUAACUCCGUGCCAGCAGCCGCGGUAAUACGGAGGGUGCGAGCGUUGUCCGGAAUCACUGGGCGUAAAGGGCGCGUAGGCGGUCGCUUAAGCGCGCGGUGAAAGCCCGGGGCUCAACCCCGGAUCGGCCGUGCGGACUGAGCGACUGGAGCGCUGUAGAGGCGGGCGGAAUUCCGGGUGUAGCGGUGGAAUGCGUAGAGAUCCCGAAGAACACCGGUGGCGAAGGCGGCCCGCUGGGCAGUGACUGACGCUGAGGCGCGACAGCGUGGGGAGCAAACAG
This 420-nucleotide ribosomal RNA is filed under the name uncultured bacterium. Its description in RNAcentral is "bacterial SSU rRNA". It matches the Rfam family "Bacterial small subunit ribosomal RNA", at positions 355 to 775 of the family's 1533-position model. The record is from RNAcentral.